GAUGAGGAGCUUGCUCCUCUGAUUUAGCGGCGGACGGGUGAGUAACACGUGGGUAAUCUGCCUGUAAGACGGGGAUAACUCCGGGAAACCGGGGCUAAUACCGGAUAAUAAGAGAAGAAGCAUUUCUUCUUUUUGAAAGUCGGUUUCGGCUGACACUUACAGAUGAGCCCGCGGCGCAUUAGCUAGUUGGUGAGGUAACGGCUCACCAAGGCGACGAUGCGUAGCCGACCUGAGAGGGUGAUCGGCCACACUGGGACUGAGACACGGCCCAGACUCCUACGGGAGGCAGCAGUAGGGAAUCUUCGGCAAUGGGCGAAAGCCUGACCGAGCAACGCCGCGUGAGCGAUGAAGGCCUUCGGGUCGUAAAGCUCUGUUGUUAGAGAAGAACAAGUACGAGAGUAACUGCUCGUACCUUGACGGUACCUAACCAGAAAGCCACGGCUAACUACGUGCCAGCAGCCGCGGUAAUACGUAGGUGGCAAGCGUUAUCCGGAAUUAUUGGGCGUAAAGCGCGCGCAGGCGGUCUCUUAAGUCUGAUGUGAAAGCCCACGGCUCAACCGUGGAGGGUCAUUGGAAACUGGGAGACUUGAGUGCAGGAGAGAAAAGUGGAAUUCCACGUG
Molecule: ribosomal RNA, 620 nt
Filed under: Fictibacillus phosphorivorans
Lineage: Bacteria; Bacillati; Bacillota; Bacilli; Caryophanales; Fictibacillaceae
Also listed under: 1 other name
Description: bacterial SSU rRNA
Rfam family: Bacterial small subunit ribosomal RNA
Source: RNAcentral